GAUCCUGAUAAUUACCAUCUCAUACAUCAGUUUUCUCUCCCUGGUAAUAUAAUAGCGCAGCUAAUUUCCUGAGAGCUAUUACCCCCAGUACAGACCAACACACAGACAGUGUGAGGCUGACUGACAGCUCCAGUCCCAACCAGGCGAUGGGAGAAUUACUUGCUUGGCUGUGGUGCAUCCAACAGCGUGCCCUGAUCCCACAGAGCAGCCCUGGGCGGGAACCACACAAGAUAUUUUUUGGGGCCAGGAGGGACCAUUAGAUCAUCCGUUCUGGCCUCCUGCACAACACAUGCCGCAGAAUCUCAUCCAAAAAGCUUGUACUCUUAAGGGUCUGCAGCCUCGGUGUAUGAUAUCAAAACUGAAAUCAGGCCCAGCAGUGUUCUCCGCUAAACUGGGCCAAGAAGCAUAAUAAAGAUUUGGCCUUGCUAUAAAAAUGUGCCGUGCUGUACUGCUACUCUGCUUAUUCCAUGCUGGCUUCCGGGCUUCUAAUAAAGGAACAGGCAUUGGGCAAAGCACCCAGGGUUCAAAGAUUUGUUUCACGCCUUGUGUUGAGUCCGGAGCGCGCUGUCAAGAAACUGGGGCACCCUGCCCUUCAGGUGGGAGCACUUCAGAGGUGGCCGAGGACAAUUCCAGCAUCCACGGGGCUCUUUGAAUCCUUCACAACAAAACUCGUCAUUCAAAUGUGUCUUUAUUAGUAGUUAUUAAUAUUUUUAGAGAAUUGCUCCAUCCUUUUCACCAUCUGUCCUAAUUCUGCUCCUUCUCCCUCCAUGCACAGCACCGAUCUGUUCCCCCCUCUAUUCCCCUUUGUGUAGAUCAGAAAGAAAGGAAAGUUUGUAUUUGUUCAUCGGUGGUUGUGAGGGUGCCCAUGGGAAGCGAGAGCUUUUGGAAGGUCAGGGAACAAACUCUGUGUUGUGCUGACACAACUGCACCUCACCACUCCCAGCAAUACUGUGUGCCCCGAGCUGAGGCCAUGCUCCUGGGGCAGUGAGGAGGGCCCCUCUGGGCACCCCACUGCAGAUGUCCCUUUGGGGAGGCAUCGUGCUGAGGGGCUUGGAGCUGAAAGAAAGAGCAAGAACUGCUCUGCCAAUGAUACCAACCAUCCAAGCAAAGAAAGAGCAGAGAAGCGGGAUGGCACCCCUGUGCAGGCAGGGUGAAGAAGGAAUAAAACCCACUGAGGUUCCACCACCAGGUCAGGAGCUAAGACAGCCCCUAAUUCAGGGUCAUGCAAACAGAAGCUAAAUUAAUAUGAACUGCUGAAAGACUCACACAGUCUGCUCUUUUUUUCCCCUAACUCUCCUGCAAGGUUUUUUUGUGUGUGUGUUUUUAAUUUUUAUUUUUUGCAUUAUUUUAUUUUACUAUUAUUUCUUUCUGGUGAGUAAAUCUUAUUAUUAUAGUUCUAACCUUCAUUACAGUGGCUUUGUGC
RNAcentral lists this long non-coding RNA (1423 nucleotides) under Gallus gallus (chicken). The record is from RNAcentral. Lineage: Eukaryota; Metazoa; Chordata; Aves; Galliformes; Phasianidae.